Molecule: small nuclear RNA, 101 nt
Filed under: Cervus elaphus hippelaphus
Lineage: Eukaryota; Metazoa; Chordata; Mammalia; Artiodactyla; Cervidae
Source: RNAcentral
GUGCUUGCUUCAGCAGCACAUGUACCAAAAUUGAAAUGAUACAGAGAAGGUUAGCAUGGCCCCUACACAAGGAUGACAGGCAAAUUCAUGAAGUGUUCCAU